RNAcentral lists this ribosomal RNA (440 nucleotides) under uncultured bacterium. Its description in RNAcentral is "partial 16S ribosomal RNA". It matches the Rfam family "Bacterial small subunit ribosomal RNA", at positions 338 to 795 of the family's 1533-position model. The record is from RNAcentral.
CCUACGGGGGGCAGCAGUGGGGAAUAUUGCACAAUGGGGGAAACCCUGAUGCAGCGACGCCGCGUGAGUGAAGAAGUAUCUCGGUAUGUAAAGCUCUAUCCGCAGGGAAGAAAAUGACGGUAACUGACUAAGAAGCACCGGCUAACUACGUGCCAGCAGCCGCGGUAAUACGUAGGGGGCAAGCGUUAUCCGGAUUUACUGGGUGUAAAGGGAGCGUAGACGGCAGCACAAGUCUGGAGUGAAAUGCCGGGGCUUAACCCCGGAACUGCUUGGGAAACUGUGCAGCUAGAGUGCAGGAGAGGUAAGUGGAAUUCCUGGUGUAGCGGUGAAAUGCGUAGAUAUUAGGAGGAACACCAGUGGCGAAGGCGGCUUACUGGACUGUAACUGACGUUGAGGCUCGAAAGCGUGGGGAGCAAACAGGAUUAGAUACCCGUGUAGUC